Molecule: ribosomal RNA, 253 nt
Filed under: uncultured bacterium
Lineage: Bacteria
Description: partial 16S ribosomal RNA
Rfam family: Bacterial small subunit ribosomal RNA
Source: RNAcentral
UACGUAGGUGGCAAGCGUUGUCCGGAUUUAUUGGGUUUAAAGGGUGCGUAGGCGGCUUUGUAAGUCAGUGGUGAAAUAUGGCAGCUCAACUGUCAGGGUGCCAUUGAUACUGCGGAGCUUGAGUACAGAUGAGGUAGGCGGAAUUGACGGUGUAGCGGUGAAAUGCUUAGAUAUCGUCAAGAACACCGAUAGCGAAGGCAGCUUACUGGGCUGUAACUGACGCUGAGGCGCGAAAGCGUGGGGAGCAAACAGG